Oncorhynchus nerka (sockeye salmon) is the source of this 2583-nucleotide long non-coding RNA. RefSeq lists it as uncharacterized. The record is from RefSeq and is a predicted model, not a curated record. The transcript is spliced from 2 exons. NCBI's taxonomy places the organism in Eukaryota, Metazoa, Chordata, Actinopteri, Salmoniformes, Salmonidae.
UUCUAGUUAUAUUUUCAGGUCAUGCGUUGUGUUGUUUGUGCGUGUUUUAGGAGACCAUUGUUAUUAUUAUUAUUAUUUUUCAUUAACAAUUCCUUUGUUCGUCAUCAUGCUGUUUUACAGUACGUAGUUGACCUUUAUUUAACUAGGCAAGUCAGUUAAGAACAAAUUCUUAUUUACAAUGACAACCUACGGGGGAACAGUGGGUUGACUGUUCAGUGACAGAACAACAGAUUUGUACCUUGUUAGACUGCAGCCUAUUCUAAGGGAAAGAAGCAUCUUUUGUCCCCCUCUUCCUUCAAUGAAAGUUCUGAUUCAUUACUAGCAACAUAUUUAGAGUGCUCCCCUUUUGUCCAAAAGCCCUUCAAUUUUUAGCUGUCUUUUUAAAAAUGGUUCUGUCUAAUUGUAGACUGUCUCUUCUAGGGGAGCACAAACAGUCAGAUUUAUAUGAAAAUUAACACACACAAAAACUCAAUCUCCAUUUCUAUUUAAACACAUUAUCUUGAAAUUGUAUAUUAUUUUUCAUUUAGUAUUACAAAAUUCCACUUCUUUGACCUGAUGUCUCUCGUCAACUUUGACUUUUUACAGCCAUGAUAAGUGCCUGAAGACAUAAAAGGGUUUCUACUGUAUGCAGUUCAGUACCAGUAUUAUCUGUGCCAGACUGUUAUGUUUUACUCUGUUUCUGGAAUGCUGUUUUUUUUUCUUCAUUAAAGGUUUUGCUGUUACAGCGGUUUCAUGUACAGGCGUGUGAUAGCUGGAUUGGCUUUUAUUUUGUCAUUUUACUUAAUAACAAAACAAAUCAAACCCUGACUGAUUUUGUCGUGUGGAUCAAGCUUAUUUUAUUAGUUGAUUGUAGAUUCUUUCUUAUACAUAUCCUUUAAAUCUCUCUUCUGUCUAGGCCGGGGAGAGGUUCUCUUCUCUCUCUAGGAGGAGAGGUUAUCUUCUCUCUCUAGGAGAGGUUCUCUUCUCUCUCUAGGAGGAGAGGUUCUCUUCUCUCUCUAGGAGGAGAGGUUCUCUUCUCUCUCUAGGAGGAGAGGUUCUCUUCUCUCUCUAGGAGGAGAGGUUCUCUUCUCUCUCUAGGAGGAGAGGUUCUCUUCUCUCUCUAGGUGGAGAGGUUAUCUUCUCUCUCUAGGUGGAGAGGUUCUCUUCUCUCUCUAGGAGGAGAGGUUCUCUUCUCUCUCUAGGAGGAGAGGUUCUCUUCUCUCUCUCUCUCUAGGAGGAGAGGUUCUCUUCUCUCUCUAGGAGGAGAGGUUCUCUUCUCUCUCUAAGUGGAGAGGUUCUCUUCUCUCUCUAGGAGGAGAGGUUCUCUUCUCUCUCUAGGUGGAGAGGUUCUCAUCUCGCUCUAGGAGGAGAGGUUCUCGUCUCUCUCUAGGAGGAGAGAUUCCCGUCUCUCUCUAGGAGGAGAGGUUCUCGUAUCUCUCUAGGAGGAGAGGUUCUCUUCUCUCUCUAGGAGAGGUUCUCUUCUCUCUCUAGGAGGAGAGUUUCUCAUCUCUCUCUAGGGGGAGGGGGGUCGGUUUAAGGUCUGUUUUUCCCUCCAAACUCAGGUUCUUAUAACCUGGUUGCAAAUCUGUUUGUGCUAUGUUGCCAUUAAGUUAGCAAGACAUCACAAAUAGAUCUGAAACCAGGCUAUGGUUCUUAUACCUGGGGGGUAAAAACAGAGGCGAAAAAGAGAGAGGAUCGUGUUAACUGAGGCGACUAAAUGCUUUAGCUUUGUGUUACUGUCUGGGUGAGGAUGUGAGGUAAACUAAACGUGCACUUGUAUGCCCCCCCCCCCCCCCUGACUCCUUGGUCCCCCUCUUCCCUCCAUUCCUGAUUUACCCCCCUACCUCCUCCCUCUGUUUACAAGGCAGACAUUUUGUGUUCUGAUCUAAUGAUGACAGGACAGUUGAUGGGAUGGAGGGAGGGUCCUGCCUCGUUGAACCAGCUCAUUGUGCUAUUACACCCCCUUUCCGUUUCCACUGCUUGGUAGAGAAGUAAACUGAACCAGACAUGUAAACUGAUUCUCCUUUUUACAUUCACUUUUAUUCCGCUUGAUUCCCCCAGCGAUGGAUAUAAUAGGUUUCCUUACUUUUUAAAAUUAAAAUAAUGAUGCUUGUAUUCCAUUGAAAAGCUUUGUGAUUUACAGUGUACAAUUUUUUUUUUUUUACCAUGAUUGUUGAAACUGGAUAGACAAUAUAAUUUCAAAGCUAUACAAUUUCUCCUCUUUGACCAUUUAGUUAUGAAAGGUAUGGGGAAAAUAUGUAAUAACCAUACGCUUAGAUCCUAUCAAGAACAUAUUAUAUACUUUAAUAAUCAGAGAAUCCUGGAUUUAUAAUUUUUAUGUUAAAAACUUCCUAAAAUUCAGAUUUUUCUGUCUUUGUCUGUUUUCUUCUAGAUUGAACUGUAGAAAAGAACACUGGAACAGUUUUAGGUUCAUUAUUACCAAUGGGGUGACAGGUGUGCCAUUCAGUCACAACAUAUUUUCCUUGCAUCUGCAUAAUAUACAUUAUUUCUUAUCCAAUUGUAAAAUUUAACCCAAAUAUAAAUGUGAUAGAACUCCAUGGACAGGGAAAUUACAUUUAUGUAUAUAAACAAAUUCAAAAAAUA